Molecule: non-coding RNA, 2254 nt
Organism: Cinara cedri
Lineage: Eukaryota; Metazoa; Arthropoda; Insecta; Hemiptera; Aphididae
Source: the annotation of a GenBank genome assembly
CUCAGGGCGUGGUCCAUUAGUUAAAAAGUCCAUGGUUGAAGACUUGAAUUUAUUUUUAGUUUUUUUAAGUUUAAUAUAAUUAACGGGAGGGAUCACAAUUUUUUUCUUAUCGCGGAAGUCAACUGUUAAUUCAAAUAGGGGAAAUCACAGAUAUAUUACCAGUAAGUAUUGUAAUAUUUUAUGUAGCGAUAUAUAAAUGCGUACCCUUUUUGAUAGAAUACAUUUCUUCAUAUUUUUUGUCACCUUUUUUUCAAAGCUAGACAUUUUUUGCGUUUUAUUAGGAUCAACGAUACACGUAUCCCGAAUAGUUUUCGUUACACCCUCGUCCUAAAAUUCCACUUGACCCGAACCCCACAUCUUUCUCGUGUUUCUCGUUGUCAUUCUAAAUCGCAUCUGACCACCUAUUUUCGGCUUUUCUUUCCUGCUCUUAUUUCUAUGUUUAUAUUAAUUACAAUUCUUACUACUUCUGAUUCAUCUCUCCCCAUGACAUGCCCUAACCAUUUCAAUCUAUUUUAUCUUAUUUUAUUUACUAUUGAAGCCACAUUGAAGUUACCUCAUUAAAUAAGAACUCAUUCCUUAUACUAUGUUCUUUCGUCACUCCACUCAUCCACCUAUGCAUUUUCAUUUCUGUUAACUCUUUUUUUGUUAUAUUUUUUUUCUAUUGCUUAAUACUGUGAACCAUACUUCAAAGCCAGUCUCACACUCAUUACAUUAUUGUAGAACUUACUUUUAAGUUUUAUUGGAAUCCUUUUGACAUGUACAACACUUGAUUCUUCUCUCCACUUUAUCUAACCACAUUUAAUAUUAUACUUCACACUGUUGUUAAAGUUACCAGAUCUUAUUUACAAAAGAUUUUAUGAAGGUACUUAAAAUUCUCACCCUUGCCUAUUAUGUCACCACUUAUUUUCACUGUUUGUCUUUUCUUGUUCCUCUAAACUCAUACUCUAUAUACACUUUUUUACUUAUGCUUAUUCUUAGUUCCUUUUCUUCAAAUGCUACUCUCCACAUGACUCAUCAGUUGUAUUCCUCUAUAAUACCUACAUUCUUGUUUAUUAAUUAUUAUUAUUGUUUGUUUCUCUUGCAUUUAAAAAUAGGCGUUUUCUUUUCUACUAUCAUCACAUAGAAAAAUCUUUUAGCCAGCUUAUGCUUAGCUCCCCUCGCAUUUUCUAUAUUUGUAUGAGUACACCAUCUGGACCUACCACUUUUUCUUCCCUAACUCUAAAUUAUUUAUUUAAUGAUUAAUUAUACACAAAUAGAAACAACUGACAUAAAGAUGAAAACUGAUAAUUAAACAAAAAUAGAAAUGACAAAAAAAUUAAAAUAUAGCCGCUUACUAUCACUUAUAUUAGAGAAAUUCAUAACAAAACAUUUAAGAAUCAUUUUAAAUAGAUUAAUUUUAAAAAUAAAUAGUCACAUUCUGAUUUACAAUUUUCAAUAUGCUCUUUUAAUUUUGUCAACUAGGAAUAUGUAAACAAGGAUCUUAUCUUGAGUGAAUAAAGGCAUGCAGAUUAAAUUUAUAUUUACCAGUAUACAAGGCAUACUUUGAUCAUUUAUUGUCAAAAGAUCUUGAGCUAAGUGAGCUUCUAAACAAAGAUACUGUUUACAGGUAAUAUUUUAAAUUGAAAAAGAUGGUAUUAUGUGAACUUAAUUAAUUGUAUUGUUUUAGUUCAGAGAAAGGAUUGAUUUAUAAUAAAUCAUGGAGAUUUCAGAAAAGAAAAAACCUGAUGUUCCAGAAAAGGAAAAUGAUGAGUGUCAAACUGGAAGUCAGUCUUCGGUGUCUGAGAACCGUGAUAGCCUUACUUCUAGGUAAAAUGUAAUGUUUUAAAAAAACAUGAUCCAUUAUAUUUAAUUAUAUAUAUUUUUAAAUUAAAACUAAUUGAGCCUUACAUAAAUUAGUUUUAUGUUUAUUUUAGAAAACAUGAUUUGGACGAUGUAGAUGAUACACCAGUUCAAAUAAAAAAGGGAAAACGGAUAAAUACAGAUUGUAUAUGACAUUUGUCUCCUAAUCAUUUUAGUACUCGAAAAAAAGCUAAAAAAAUUUUAAAUAUGAUAAAAGAUAAAUAUAAACAAAAACAAAUUCAACUUCGCAACUUAAAAGAAGAGUUUCAAAUGUUGACUUUUCAACUGAUGAUAUAUGAAAACAAAUAUGGUAAACUUUCAAAAAUUAAUACUAUGAAAAAUUUAAGAAAUUAGGACAGUCCCUAUAUAAUUUGAGAAUCUAAUCAGUGGCGUACACAGGGACGGUAGGUUGGGG